Molecule: ribosomal RNA, 1365 nt
Filed under: uncultured beta proteobacterium
Lineage: Bacteria; Pseudomonadati; Pseudomonadota; Betaproteobacteria
Description: bacterial SSU rRNA
Rfam family: Bacterial small subunit ribosomal RNA
Source: RNAcentral
UUGAACGCUGGCGGCAUGCCUUACACAUGCAAGUCGAACGGCAGCACGGGUGCUUGCACCUGGUGGCGAGUGGCGAACGGGUGAGUAAUACAUCGGAACAUGUCCUGUAGUGGGGGAUAGCCCGGCGAAAGCCGGAUUAAUACCGCAUACGAUCUACGGAUGAAAGCGGGGGACCUUCGGGCCUCGCGCUAUAGGGUUGGCCGAUGGCUGAUUAGCUAGUUGGUGGGGUAAAGGCCUACCAAGGCGACGAUCAGUAGCUGGUCUGAGAGGACGACCAGCCACACUGGGACUGAGACACGGCCCAGACUCCUACGGGAGGCAGCAGUGGGGAAUUUUGGACAAUGGGCGAAAGCCUGAUCCAGCAAUGCCGCGUGUGUGAAGAAGGCCUUCGGGUUGUAAAGCACUUUUGUCCGGAAAGAAAUCCUUGGCUCUAAUACAGUCGGGGGAUGACGGUACCGGAAGAAUAAGCACCGGCUAACUACGUGCCAGCAGCCGCGGUAAUACGUAGGGUGCGAGCGUUAAUCGGAAUUACUGGGCGUAAAGCGUGCGCAGGCGGUUUGCUAAGACCGAUGUGAAAUCCCCGGGCUCAACCUGGGAACUGCAUUGGUGACUGGCAGGCUAGAGUAUGGCAGAGGGGGGUAGAAUUCCACGUGUAGCAGUGAAAUGCGUAGAGAUGUGGAGGAAUACCGAUGGCGAAGGCAGCCCCCUGGGCCAAUACUGACGCUCAUGCACGAAAGCGUGGGGAGCAAACAGGAUUAGAUACCCUGGUAGUCCACGCCCUAAACGAUGUCAACUAGUUGUUGGGGAUUCAUUUCCUUAGUAACGUAGCUAACGCGUGAAGUUGACCGCCUGGGGAGUACGGUCGCAAGAUUAAAACUCAAAGGAAUUGACGGGGACCCGCACAAGCGGUGGAUGAUGUGGAUUAAUUCGAUGCAACGCGAAAAACCUUACCUACCCUUGACAUGGUCGGAAUCCCGCUGAGAGGUGGGAGUGCUCGAAAGAGAACCGGCGCACAGGUGCUGCAUGGCUGUCGUCAGCUCGUGUCGUGAGAUGUUGGGUUAAGUCCCGCAACGAGCGCAACCCUUGUCCUUAGUUGCUACGCAAGAGCACUCUAAGGAGACUGCCGGUGACAAACCGGAGGAAGGUGGGGAUGACGUCAAGUCCUCAUGGCCCUUAUGGGUAGGGCUUCACACGUCAUACAAUGGUCGGAACAGAGGGUUGCCAACCCGCGAGGGGGAGCUAAUCCCAGAAAACCGAUCGUAGUCCGGAUUGCACUCUGCAACUCGAGUGCAUGAAGCUGGAAUCGCUAGUAAUCGCGGAUCACGCAUGCCGCGGUGAAUACGUUCCCGGGUCUUGUACUCACCG